Molecule: long non-coding RNA, 438 nt
Filed under: Bos indicus x Bos taurus (hybrid cattle)
Lineage: Eukaryota; Metazoa; Chordata; Mammalia; Artiodactyla; Bovidae
Description: lncRNA (ENSBIXG00005010831.1)
Source: RNAcentral
UAACCCAUAAAUUAAUAUCUCAAUCCAGGUCUCUUCCCAAAACGCGGUGGUCCAGAACAGAUGUUGGCCUACUGCAUGCUGGCCUGAAACAGUAGUGCCUGAUGACUUUCUAUCUCAAGAGAGAUCAGGUGCUGAUAAAAAAAUAAAUAAGACAGUACAAAUAAAAUUGCAAACUCUGGAGAUGGGAAAGAAAUGGCAGAAGAUGCUUCUAUGGAAUAAUUAGUCCACUGUUGAGAGGAGUUUUAUGCAAAGUUUGAAAUGCUACAAAAUUUAGAGGUUAUUUAAUAAGGGAAUUCAAAUCUGAAAUAAGUGGAUAGAAAAGCAUAUGAGAAGGUAAGUGGAAAAAUAAGCAACAUGUAAAUAACAAAGUAUCAUAAACACUUUAUUUCUUGAACCAAGAAGAUAAGCAAGAUUAGGAAAUGAAACUACCUCUUACUA